Xyrichtys novacula (pearly razorfish) is the source of this 329-nucleotide non-coding RNA. NCBI's taxonomy places the organism in Eukaryota, Metazoa, Chordata, Actinopteri, Labriformes, Labridae. The record is from the annotation of a GenBank genome assembly.
GCUAUGGAGUGGUGUUUCGGUUGAGUGCAUGGCUCUGUGUAUUGCUAUUGUGCGGUCGUUACUAAAGUUGGUAUAACUAGAGAAGGUAGCAGUCGGCAACAUUCAUCUCUCGAAGAGGUGUCUAACUCGGUGUGUUUGACCCUAAGUUAAUUUUAAGCCGGAAUAUCCCUUUAAAGGAAGUUCUUCCUCUCCAAUGUAACUUUAAAUGCUGCAAAGCGUUUUACUCACGUGGUUAAAAAUGUAAGAAGAGUGGGUCUGAUCUUUCAAAAUAAAAGCACAAAAAGCCCCAAAAUAAAAUGAAACAUGUAAAAUAAAAAAAUUCCCUCUUA